This 574-nucleotide ribosomal RNA is filed under the name uncultured organism. RNAcentral describes it as "bacterial SSU rRNA". It matches the Rfam family "Bacterial small subunit ribosomal RNA", at positions 854 to 1435 of the family's 1533-position model. The record is from RNAcentral.
AACCCGUUAAGCAAGCCGCCUGGAAAGUACGGCCGCAAGGCUGAAAUUCAAAGGAAUUGGUGGGGAGGCACACAACCAGUGGAACAUGUGGUUUAAUUCGAGACUAACCGAAGAACCUCACCAGGGUUUGACAUGUAGCUGCACGUCUUAAGAAAUUAAGACUCUCUUGAAGGUGCUACACAGGUGCUGCAUGGCUGUCGUCAGCUCGUUCCGUGAGGAGUGCCCUUAAGUGGGACAACGAGCGCAACCCCUAUUACAUGUUAGAAAUGUCAUGUAAGACUGCCUUGCCAUUUGGCGGGGAGGAAGGAGGGGCAGACGUCAAGUCCGCAUGGUCCUUAUGCCCUGGGCUACACACAUGUUACAAUGAGUACGGCAAUGAGUCUGUCGCGAGCACGUAAGUGUAAGCUAGUCUCUUAAAUGUACUCUCAGUGGGGAUUGAGGUCUGCAACUCGACCUCAUGAACACGGAAUUGGUAGUAAUCGCGGGUCAGCUAUACCGCGGUGAAUACGUUCUUGCCUCUUGCACACACCGCCCGUCAAACCAGCAAAGUCGAUUGUAUCCGAACCUCUCUUUU